AAAUCAACGCUGGCGGCGCGCUUAACACAUGCAAGUCGCACGAGAAAGGGGAGCAAUCCCUGAGUACAGUGGCGUACGGGUGAGUAACACGUGGAUGAUCUACCUUCUAGUGGGGAAUACCUCUGGGAAACCGGAGACAAUACCGCAUAAGCUCGUAAGAGGAAAGCAGCAAUGCGCUGGAAGAGGAGUCCGCGGCUGAUUAGCUAGUUGGCGGGGUAAUGGCCCACCAAGGCGAAGAUCGGUAGCCGGCCUGAGAGGGCACACGGCCACACUGGCACUGAAACACGGGCCAGACUCCUACGGGAGGCAGCAGUGGGGAAUCGUGCACAAUGGAGGAAACUCUGAUGCAGCGACGCCGCGUGAGCGAUGAAGCCCUUCGGGGUGUAAAGCUCUUUCGACGGGAACGAUAAUGACGGUACCCGGAGAAGAAGCUGCGGCUAACUACGUGCCAGCAGCCGCGGUAAUACGUAGGCAGCGAGCGUUGUUCGGGAUUACUGGGCGUAAAGAGUGUGUAGGCGGUGUUCUAAGUCUGGUGUGAAAUCUCCCGGCUCAACUGGGAGGGUGCGCUAGAGACUGGAAUGCUCGAGUGUGGGAGAGGUAAGCGGAAUUCCUGGUGUAGCGGUGAAAUGCGUAGAUAUCAGGAGGAACACCUGUGGUGUAGACAGCUUACUGGACCAUGACUGACGCUGAGACACGAAAGCGUGGGUAGCAAACAGGAUUAGAUACCCUGGUAGUCCACGCCCUAAACGAUGCAUACUUGGUGUGAGCCAUUCAUUUGGUUCGUGCCGGAGCUAACGCGUUAAGUAUGCCGCCUGGGGAGUACGGUCGCAAGGCUG
This 836-nucleotide ribosomal RNA is filed under the name uncultured bacterium. Its description in RNAcentral is "bacterial SSU rRNA". It matches the Rfam family "Bacterial small subunit ribosomal RNA", at positions 26 to 896 of the family's 1533-position model. The record is from RNAcentral.